UGAUCAUGUGAUCAAUUAAGCCUUGUGCAGGGGAGAAGAGAGUUUAGAGCUAAAGAAAAGCCAGGGUUCUUCUCCAGCAAGGGGUAGUGAUUGGGACCCCACCGGACCAGGUGCUACACAAACCCAGAAGAAACAGGUACUUGGAGACACUGAUGGCAUGAAGCCCAGGCUGCUGAACAAUCAAGGUUGAAAAUGGGGCAGAAGGAAAAUUUUCCAUCGAAAAUAUUUGUCCCUGGAAAGUUGUGGGUUUGAUUUAAAGAAAAUGUUUUGCAAAAAGCACUUGCUUCCCAUGGGAAAUGACUGGGCAUUUUUUGUAUUGGUUUGGGUUUUUUUGUCAAAAAUCAAAAUAUUUCAAUUUAGAGAUGCUGCUGCAAUGCUUCGUGGGAGUUUUAGUUUGGAUGCCCCAUGUCCUUGGUUUUCCUCUACGAGCUGGUCUUUUCCAGACAGAUGACGUUUCCAGUGAGGUACCCUUUCAAAGAGGACAGCGGUGCAUCAUGGGAGAUGUAGUCUGACCUGGGAGCCUGGCCUAUCGAGGAGAAUGGGAGCAUGGGGUAACUGAAACGCAACUCCCAUGAGACAUGGCAGCAGCAGCAAAAUGUUUUUUUGGGACAAAGUUUGGGUUUUGGCCAAAGUCCUUCAACCUUUGCUGAACAAAGCAAAAUGAUUUUUAUUCAUUUUCAUCAAAAUUUUGCAAGGCAAAACCCCGUUGCCCAACGCGUUCUGUUUACGCCGUUUGCUUUCCUGCAACGACAACCAUGGUGGAAAUUUUGGAGAGGACGAGUCCAAACCCAGCGAAUCUUGGGUACUGAAGGAGCUGUGUGUUGAAUGGAGACCCUGGCCCUACAGUCAGCUCUUAGCGGGGUGAACCGCUGAAGUAAACAGGGCUCUCUGGACACGGGCGCUGGAACAAUCUGUAUAGGGGGGGUGCUGAGCCAUUCAACCUAACUGCAAACCCUGUAUAUAAUGGAAACCACUUCAAGCCGGGGGGGCAGUAGCCCCCCCCCCCCCCAGUUCCAGAACCUAUGGCUCUGGAACCACGGCCCCAGAUCUACUAACCACCUCCUGUGCAAAGGGUGGUCUUUUUGCUGCAGCUGACUGCAGCUCGGCGCCGACAGCGCAGAUACCCUUGUUUCAGGGGACGGCCUGAAACGUUAGUCAUUGAACUGGAUUGAAGUUUGCAAUCUCUGCACUUUCCCCGCCCUGGGCUGCACAGGAGGGCAGAUGAGAUGAUCCACAGUGGCCCUUGCAGUCUAUUAACUAGGUUUGAGGUUUUGUUGUUGUUCCUGUGUAAGGGCCCCGAUCUUGCAAACUACUCAGGUAUGGGAGUAAAUAAUUUCUGUUCUGAGAGUGCCUGACAUUUCUGACUAAGACUGGGGAGCCUCCCCCCCACCCCUUGGGCAGGUGCUGCACAGACACGGGGUGACACAGUCCCUGCAAGAGCUUAGAGCCUGAAUAGACGAAGGGCAGGAGAGGAACAAGAGGCACAGAAUGGCAAAUUGAACGGCUCCAGUCAGUGACCGAGCCGGGAACAGAACCCAGGAGUCCUGACACCCAGCCCACCCUGCUCUACCUCAGGAGAUUCAGCUCCCUGCCCAGAGCUGGGGAUAGAACCGACUCCCACUGCUUUCCCAUAAAGCUAGCCUGGUAUGUCCAGGCAACAGAGGACGAAGCAAAAACCCCUCACUGAUCCCGGGGCCAUUGUGUUUUGCAGCAGAACAAACUGGGCAUGUUUAAACCUCCCGACAGCGAGUUAACAGUUUCCAUUGGAAAAAUAGGACCAAGCCAGGAAUUCUGUCUGUGGGUGCAGCUCCCUGUGGCAGGGCCAUUUCCAUAGGAAAUAUCGUACCGUUUUACAGUGUGUGUUUGUUUAAAGGUGACUUGAAAAGAAGGUGGGGGAGGGGGAAUUAAUAAAAUGAGGCAUCUGCUCCUCUUUAUGGUCUGUAA
Molecule: long non-coding RNA, 1944 nt
Organism: Mauremys reevesii (Reeves's turtle)
Lineage: Eukaryota; Metazoa; Chordata; Testudines; Geoemydidae
Exons: 2
Source: RefSeq, a predicted model, not a curated record